The sequence is a ribosomal RNA, 680 nucleotides long. It matches the Rfam family "Eukaryotic small subunit ribosomal RNA", at positions 625 to 1309 of the family's 1831-position model.
CGCUCGUAGUCGGAUUUCGGGGCGGCUUCGUCGGUCUGCCGAUGGGUAUGCACUGACGCGGGCGUCCUUCCUUCCGGAGACGCGUCCUACUCUUAGCUGAGCGGGGCGUGGAGACGGAUCGUUUACUUUGAAAAAAUCAGAGUGUUUCAAGCAGGCAUCAUCGCUCUUGCAUGGAUUAGCAUGGGAUAAUGAAAUAGGACCUUGGUGCUAUUUUGUUGGUUUCGAGCACCGAAGUAAUGAUUAACAGGGACAGUCAGGGGCACUCGUAUUCCGCCGAGAGAGGUGAAAUUCUCAGACCAGCGGAAGACGAACCACUGCGAAAGCAUUUGCCAGGGAUGUUUUCACUGAUCAAGAACGAAAGUUAGGGGAUCGAAGACGAUCAGAUACCGUCGUAGUCUUAACCAUAAACCAUGCCGACUAGGGAUUGGAGGAUGUCCACUUUUGACUUCUUCAGCACCUUACGGGAAACUAAAGUCUUUGGGUUCCGGGGGGAGUAUGGUCGCAAGGCUGAAACUUAAAGGAAUUGACGGAAGGGCACCACCAGGAGUGGAGCCUGCGGCUUAAUUUGACUCAACACGGGGAAACUUACCAGGUCCAGACAUUGUGAGGAUUGACAGAUUGAGAGCUCUUUCUUGAUUCGAUGGGUGGUGGUGCAUGGCCGUUCUUAGUUGGUGGAGUGA